RNAcentral lists this ribosomal RNA (253 nucleotides) under uncultured bacterium. Its description in RNAcentral is "partial 16S ribosomal RNA". It matches the Rfam family "Bacterial small subunit ribosomal RNA", at positions 524 to 776 of the family's 1533-position model. The record is from RNAcentral.
UACGAAGGGGGCUAGCGUUGCUCGGAAUCACUGGGCGUAAAGCGCACGUAGGCGGCUUUUUAAGUCAGGGGGGAAAUCCUGGAGCUCAACUCCAGAACUGCCUUUGAUACUGAGAAGCUUGAGUCCGGGAGAGGUGAGUGGAACUGCGAGUGUAGAGGUGAAAUUCGUAGAUAUUCGCAAGAACCCCAGUGGCGAAGGCGAGUCUCUGGACAUUUCCUGACGCUGAGGCACGAAAGCCAGGGGAGCAAACGGG